GUCUACAUAGGUGGCACCGGCUGCACCCGGCAGUAGAACCGCGACGCAGAUUGCACUCCAUGGGCGGCUAGCUGCGUCACUGCUAGUUUCGCCAGCCAGCCCACCCCCUGGGCUGCGCUUGCUGCAGCGGCGGCCAAUGAAACCCCAGGCACCAUCGAACCGGCAGAAAGUGCAUCUGCCUGUCUGGAAGAUCAUUGAUGAAGCUGAAGAUGGAUGGGCAUUGAAGACUAUCCUUGUUCUGACCAGAUCCCAGAAGAAUUCCUAAUUUGUUAUGAUCAGACCACCGGUGACGUUCCCUAAAUUAUCAUUGUUCUAGGAUUCCUAGUGUGUCGAGCAAGAUGAAGGAAACAUUUAAAAUAACUGCAUAUGCUAAAAUUGGAUGCAGAAUGUUGGAACCAAUCAGCUGUAAGAUGGCUGCACUGGCACACUGCAGGUGAUGUUAAAGUGCUUCACUGAUGUCUACUAUAAUUGAGAGGAGGCUCCUAAGUAUAUUGAUGGACUUGGGUCCCAGAUGUGACUGCAUCUGUCACAUGCUGCAACAUGUCACUGGUAGCUGCCAGUAGCGAAGGCCAAAGUAAAUCUGUGACACGGAUGUGCUGAAAUGAAUCACUUUUCACAGAGGAUGGAAUCCGAUGGCUGGUGAUCAUAAAGGAAAGCCUAAACAGCAUCCCUCAUCUAAUGCUGCUCCUCAAGUUGUACACCUGGUUCAGUUUCUAUUCCCACAUAUCUCACCUUCUCAUUGGAUUCA
Molecule: long non-coding RNA, 748 nt
Organism: Rhincodon typus (whale shark)
Lineage: Eukaryota; Metazoa; Chordata; Chondrichthyes; Orectolobiformes; Rhincodontidae
Exons: 5
Source: RefSeq, a predicted model, not a curated record